Molecule: long non-coding RNA, 740 nt
Filed under: Papio anubis (olive baboon)
Lineage: Eukaryota; Metazoa; Chordata; Mammalia; Primates; Cercopithecidae
Description: lncRNA (ENSPANG00000046800.1)
Source: RNAcentral
UAUCAUUCUAAUAAAUGGAAUUGGUAAGGAGAUUCCAAAUCUAACUGUUUUUUUUAAGUCUUUCUGUUUUUAUCCUUUCUUCACUCUACUUCUAGAGGUACCCAGUGUCAUUAACUUCUGAGCCCUUUGGCAUUUCCAUCCUACAAGUUUCUUCUUGGAUUUUUCCACUGCUGGCAUAAGAAUCAACUUUUUCAAGUCUGCUGAACCAGUUAUUGUCUUGUCUGGAUUCCUCAAAAGCAGAUCCUGAGACAAAGGCUGAUGCACAAAAUGUAUUUAUUGAAUAUCCACUGAGUGCUGAUGUGCUCAGUGCUGGGGAUCCUGAGACCAAUAAGACACAUUAAUUGACUGCUGGGACUUACCAUCUAGUUGGGAAAGACAUGAAGAAAUUUAGGAUGACACAAGGAAUCUACGUAUUUAGGGUAACAGAAAGACAGACUGAAAAGAUAACAUCAUUAUUGCCAAAACCUAAGAUUGGAUGCAAGAUAUUUUUGGACCUUUGCAUUCUGACUACCAACUGACUCCACCCAGACCCGUGGUUCAUACCAAGGAACUGACUCCCACCCAGAAACUGACUCAGCACGUGAAGACAGUUUGGACCCUCCUAUGAUUUCAUCCCCAACCAAUCAGCAGCACCCAUUUCCUAGCCCCCUGCCUGCCAAAUUAUCCUUUAAACCCUAGCCUACAAGCUUUAGAGGAGGUGGAUUUGAGCAACAUCUCCCAUUCCUGCACUUGGCUGGUCU